Long non-coding RNA from Empidonax traillii (willow flycatcher), 196 nucleotides. RefSeq lists it as uncharacterized. The transcript is spliced from 3 exons. NCBI's taxonomy places the organism in Eukaryota, Metazoa, Chordata, Aves, Passeriformes, Tyrannidae. The record is from RefSeq and is a predicted model, not a curated record.
GCCUUCCCAGCCACCCCAACAGGUUUCUGGUACAGACCCUCAAGGCCCUGCUCUGCCAUCUGCAGUGGGAGGAUAUUUUGAUGGCAAGGAAGCGCAGGCUUGCCUGGGACCCACUGGUGAAUUCUGACCCCCACCACUCUGCAGUGGGUCUGCAUGUCAGGGAGAUGCGCCACCAGUUGACCCCCUCCCAUUCUCC